This 1451-nucleotide ribosomal RNA is filed under the name metagenome. Its description in RNAcentral is "bacterial SSU rRNA". It matches the Rfam family "Bacterial small subunit ribosomal RNA". The record is from RNAcentral.
AGAGUUUGAUCCUGGCUCAGGACCAACGCUGGCGGCGUGCCUAAUGCAUGCGAGUCGAACGGGUUGCUUUCGGGCAAUCACGUGGCGGACGGGUGCGUAACACGUGGGCAAUCUGCCCCGAGGUGGGGGAUAGCCAUCGGAAACGGUGGGUAAUUCCGCAUGAGCUCGCUUUUCUGUGGGGAGAGUGAGGAAAGCCGAAAGGCGCCUUGGGAGGAGCCUGCGGCCGAUUAGCUAGUUGGUGGGGUAACGGCCUACCAAGGCGAUGAUCGGUAGCUGGUCUGAGAGGACGGCCAGCCACACGGGGACUGAGAGACGGCCCCGACUCCUACGGGAGGCAGCAGCAAGGAAUCUUCCGCAAUGGGCGAAAGCCUGACGGAGCAACGCCGCGUGGGGGAAGACGCUUUUCGGAGUGUAAACCCCUUUUCUUGGGGACGAAAGACUGACGGUACCCGAGGAAGAAGGACCGGCUAACUACGUGCCAGCAACCGCGGUAAUACGUAGGGUCCGAGCGUUGUCCGGAGUUACUGGGCGUAAAGCGCGCGCAGGCGGCUUCAUAAGACUGGCGUGAAAGCCUCCGGCUCAACCGGAGAGGGUCGUCGGUGACUGUGGAGCUUGAGAGUGGCAGGGGCUGGUGGAAUGCCUGGUGUAGUGGUGAAAUGCGUAGAGAUCAGGCGGAACACCCGUGGCGAAGGCGGCCAGCUGGGCCAAAUCUGACGCUGAGGCGCGAAGGCGUGGGGAGCGAACGGGAUUAGAUACCCCGGUAGUCCACGCAGUAAACGAUGCAGACUAGGCGUGGGGGGACUUGACCCCUUCCGUGCCGGAGCCAACGCGGUAAGUCUGCCGCCUGGGGAGUACGGCCGCAAGGCUAAAACUCAAAGGAAUUGACGGGGGCCCGCACAAGCGGCGGAGCGUGCGGUUUAAUUCGACAACGCGCAGAACCUUACCAAGGCUUGACAUGCGACUGCAGGCCCCGGAAACGGGGCGUCCCUUGAGGGUGUCGCACAGGUGCUGCAUGGCUGUCGUCAGCUCGUGCCGUGAGGUGUUGGGUUAAGUCCCGCAACGAGCGCAACCCCCGCUGCCAGUUGAAUGAUCUGGCGGGACUGCCGGUCGCAAACCGGAGGAAGGUGGGGAUGACGUCAAGUCAGCAUGGCCCUUACGUCUUGGGCUACACGCACGCUACAAUGGCCGGGACAGAGGGUUGCCAAGCCGUGAGGCGGAGCCAAUCCCCCAAACCCGGUCUCAGUUCAGAUCGUGGGCUGCAACUCGCCCACGUGAAGUCGGAGUCGCUAGUAACCGCAGGUCAGCAGUACUGCGGUGAAUAUGUUCCCGGGCCUUGUACACACCGCCCGUCACGUCAUGAAAGCCGGCAAUGCCUGAAGCCGGUGGGCCAACCUUCGGGAGGCAGCCGUCGAGGGCAGGGUUGGUGAUUGGGACGAAGUCGUAACAAGGUA